UACAGAGGUCUCAAGCGUUUGUUCGGAUUCAUUGGGCGUAAAGGGUGCGUAGGCGGCGCGGUAAGUCGGGUGUGAAAUUUCGAGGCUUAACUUCGAAACUGCAUUCGAUACUGCCGUGCUAGAGGACUGGAGAGGAGACUGGAAUUUACGGUGUAGCGGUGAAAUGCGUAGAUAUCGUAAGGAAGACCAGUGGCGAAGGCGGGUCUCUGGACAGUUCCUGACGCUGAGGCACGAAGGCCAGGGGAGCAAACGGG
Molecule: ribosomal RNA, 254 nt
Filed under: uncultured bacterium
Lineage: Bacteria
Description: partial 16S ribosomal RNA
Rfam family: Bacterial small subunit ribosomal RNA
Source: RNAcentral